RNAcentral lists this ribosomal RNA (468 nucleotides) under uncultured bacterium. Its description in RNAcentral is "partial 16S ribosomal RNA". It matches the Rfam family "Bacterial small subunit ribosomal RNA", at positions 28 to 507 of the family's 1533-position model. The record is from RNAcentral.
GACGAACGCUGGCGGCGUGCUUAACACAUGCAAGUCGAACGGAAAGGCCCUGCUUUUGUGGGGUGCUCGAGUGGCGAACGGGUGAGUAACACGUGAGUAACCUGCCCUUGACUUUGGGAUAACUUCAGGAAACUGGGGCUAAUACCGGAUAGGAGCUCCUGCUGCAUGGUGGGGGUUGGAAAGUUUCGGCGGUUGGGGAUGGACUCGCGGCUUAUCAGCUUGUUGGUGGGGUAGUGGCUUUCCAAGGCUUUGACGGGUAGCCUGCCUGAGAGGGUGACCGGCCACAAUGGGACUGAGAUACGGCCCAGACUCCUACGGGAGGCAGCAGUGGGGAAUAUUGCACAAUGGGCGGAAGCCUGAUGCAGCAACGCCGCGUGCGGGAUGACGGCCUUCGGGUUGUAAACCGCUUUCGCCUGUGACGAAGCGUGAGUGACGGUAAUGGGUAAAGAAGCACCGGCUAACUACGUG